GAAAGUAGCGGAAUGAGUGACGCUCAGCCCGAGCUACACGUGCGAAAAAGUCCGUUCGAAAGGGAGAGGAUGAAGGGAGGAUAUUAAAGCCACGGCGCUCGUGUGCGUGCGCGUGGAGUGACCAACCCCACCCCACACCCUCGCGCUGGCAGAAGUCCGCGUGUCGAAGCAGCAUUAAUGACUGAUUAUCGGGGUGAUAGACGCAGAAGGGGACAGGAACGCAGCUUCAGCCGCCAGAUGGUAAAUAGCUGAGGAAAGCAGGAAAAGGGACGAACGGAGAGGGGGGCAAAACGAACGCCGCGCUGAGUCCCAAAGCAGAAGGUUGUGUAGUGAAGGGUGGAGGGCAAGGAAGAGUGGGAUUAGGGGAGUGAAGGGACGUCUGUGAGUUUAACCGGAUUUGAACACAGCCACGCGGGGCGUAAUAGGUCUGUGACAGGCUUUGGUAAUGUCGAACAGAACGGCGGCAGGGAGCUAAUGCCUCUGUAUAUUGCAUUGUAGAAUAAUGCACAAAAGUACAGAAGGCUGGUUUCAAUAGGCCUCAUAACUGCAACAAUACAGGUGAACCAGUAAUGAAUGAGACACGUAGCUUCACGGAAUCGAAAGCGCAAUGGUGCAGAGCACAACACUGCUAAAUGCAAACGCUGGAGGAUCUGAGGUUCGCUUGCUUGAGGAAAGAAGCUGUGAGACCUCACCUGCCAGGGGAACACUAUCCUGCUCAUCAGGACUUUGAAGGCAAAACUGCACAAGAAGGACUACACAGACGUGCAUAGCUCUGCGGCAUCACUGGUAUGCCCACUCUAGCCGUACAGAUCACAGCUGCUCUCUGUUGUGCUUCUACCAUCAAACCUACCCACACCACAGACGGCUGCUGUACCACGGUGGCAGAGAGACCGGCUCCGUGCCAGUCUGAUCCUAGCCCAUGCAUCUGUCAAGCCAUGAAACACCCACCCAUGACAGCCUAACUGCUAAAGCCUGGUUCGUACCUACUGCCGACAUGAGAAACCAUGCCAACCAUGGCUCCGGACUGUCCGCGCCACUUUAUGUUCACAGUUCUUGCACCACCGUCCCUGGCAAGUGCGUGCUUUGACCUCAGAGCUGGUGUGGUGCUGUAGGGCAAAGCAGCACAAGCAGGAAGCCAGAAGCUGCUCUCUCCCGCAUAGCACACCAGCAACAGAAGAAACCGACUCCGAUCACACACUGAUCACACACAGGCAAACAGCAGGUCAAAGGCAACCUUUGCUGAGAUGGGCUGAUCGACGGAGAAGACCGUGGCAUUGUUUUGCAGUUCUGAUAUAACCAGGGGUUUGGGAGAAGAAGAACCUAGAUGUGGUCUACAGCUAAAGAAAGCACUUCACUGGGAAACUUGGGAGCACCAGGCCAAGUGAAGCGAGUGGCAAGUCAUGACCUGUGUGAUGCUGUGCUCUAAGGGGUGUUUACUGAGACUGCACUGGAGCACUUAAUGCCAGUAAAAACUACCCUGCUUCCUAUGAUUUAUUUAGCUUGUAAAUUGGUUGUGAACUUUGUACCAAUCUGUAAUCACUGAUGCACAAUUGUGUGUAUUUGUUUAAUAUGAAUAAAUGAUGAA
Molecule: non-coding RNA, 1585 nt
Organism: Electrophorus electricus (electric eel)
Lineage: Eukaryota; Metazoa; Chordata; Actinopteri; Gymnotiformes; Gymnotidae
Source: RefSeq, a predicted model, not a curated record